This is a non-coding RNA of Phascolarctos cinereus (koala), 214 nucleotides long. Lineage: Eukaryota; Metazoa; Chordata; Mammalia; Diprotodontia; Phascolarctidae. The record is from RefSeq and is a predicted model, not a curated record.
UAAAAUCACAGAAUCCGAUGAUGUUACCAAGAGAGAGAUCAUAGAGGGAUAAAUGGAGAAGGGUUACGGGGUCCACCAUCCCAUUCUUCACUAUCACGGCUCAUGACCCAGAAGUCCAUGGGGAUUGGGAAAGAAAUGAGGAUAUAGGAAGGGCACAAGAAAUGCACAGAAGAGAACAGAAAGAAGGUCAGAGGGAAGCCCAGACAAGUACAAC